This 226-nucleotide unclassified non-coding RNA is filed under the name Hevea brasiliensis (rubber tree). Lineage: Eukaryota; Viridiplantae; Streptophyta; Magnoliopsida; Malpighiales; Euphorbiaceae. The record is from RNAcentral.
ACAGCACCUAGGUCAUUAUUUUAUACGCAUCCUUUUUAUGUUUGUCAAAGCAACUCUGUAGUUAAAGCCUUCAACAUACACAUCAGUAUCAAAACAAAAGCCUUUCAUGCUAUUGCUACCACAAAAUAUUGACUAGUUGAUGCAAUCAAGGAAGUCAAAGACAAUUUCAUUUAGGAAUCACCAUAAUCAUCUUCUUUAGGAAUUCUAUUAGGUUUGUUAUUAUUUA